CUAUGCCGGAGGCUCUGCUACCUACAGAGAACAUGACAUCCCUUAUUUAUCCCAAGGGAAAAAGAACCCUGUCAGUCUGGUGUUGUCUACCCCUAAACACAUGCGGGAAUGAAAACUGUUUUGUCCCCCUCUCUUUCAGUGUUCUUUCUCACUUAGAAAAAUGGUUGAAAAACCAGGUUUUGGCUCUGAUGAGUCAGGUAAAGAGAAGGACAAUAUCUCAUCAAGAGUUACAAGUAAAUGGUCUAACCAGUCCUAGUUUAUCUGAGUCAAACGACUCGGUUUUGUACCAACUUCGAUAAACUCGCUCGAGUUAGGUUUUUCUCUAUCGUUAAGUCUAUUUUUUUUUUCCAUUUUGGGCUGAAAACUGUGUGUGUCUGAGUCUUGAAUUGGCCUGCGACUGCCAAAACUAGGGAAAACACUGUUACGGAGAGAAGAGAACCGUUUCCGAGGCCCUAACACACCAUAAAGGAUAGAAAAGGCUCAUCACCGGCUGACCGUCCCGAUCAAAGACUCCAACGGCGACCUGAAGGUUAAUAAAGGAAAAGAGUCGGACUGAGCUUGUCCUCAUAUCAGAUGGAAGAAUCAAAUAAAAGAAGAGAAAGAUUGAAAUCAAUGCGAAUGGAGGCUGCUGAGGCUGAAGCUUCCGAGAUUGCCGAUAGUUCUACUGCCCCUGGUUACCUAUCCAAUCCACUAAUUGAACCCUCUGCAAUUCCACUGGUGGAGGGAAGUUCACCUUCUGUUCCGCGGUUUGAUUUUUACACAGAUCCUAUGGCAGCUUUCUCUGGUAACAAGAGGAGGAGCAGCAGUAUGCAGACACCACAACAUUAUAUCUCACCCACAACUAGUAGCGGGUCCCCCAUUACUAGGUUUUCAUCACCUCCUUCAGGUAGCAUGGUCUUUCUACACAGUACUUGUUUUUUUAGUUAUGAGUUUUUCUUAGUGUAACUGUUUGCGAAUGCCAAAAUAUCAUGGUAGUUUUAGGGGUUUUUUUUAGUAUAAUGUUUUCAUAAAACGUUCUUGUCGCUGGUGUUUUGUUCAAGCGCUAGACUUCUUGCUGUUUGGUGCAUGAUAAUGUAGUGAAAUUUUGAGAGAUAGUGAGAUACUUAAACUGUAGAAGAAUUUUCUUAGAACUAAA
This is a long non-coding RNA of Macadamia integrifolia, 1135 nucleotides long. RefSeq lists it as uncharacterized. The transcript has 2 exons. NCBI's taxonomy places the organism in Eukaryota, Viridiplantae, Streptophyta, Magnoliopsida, Proteales, Proteaceae. The record is from RefSeq and is a predicted model, not a curated record.